UUUAACGUCCAUAUCAUGUUGAAUACACCGGUUCUCUUCCGAUCACCGAAAUCAAGCAACAUCGGGCGUGGUCAGUACUUGGAUGGGUUGAUCAUCAUAUAGUUUAAAAA
This 110-nucleotide ribosomal RNA is filed under the name Bombyx mori (domestic silkworm). The record is from RNAcentral. Lineage: Eukaryota; Metazoa; Arthropoda; Insecta; Lepidoptera; Bombycidae.